Molecule: long non-coding RNA, 543 nt
Organism: Plodia interpunctella (Indianmeal moth)
Lineage: Eukaryota; Metazoa; Arthropoda; Insecta; Lepidoptera; Pyralidae
Exons: 3
Source: RefSeq, a predicted model, not a curated record
CGACGUUAAAUCCUCAAAACUUUUUCGUACAAAGCAUUCCUACACAAUCAGUCGAGAUUUUAAACUAGGAGCAUAUAUCUAUACUGUAGGAGUUACAAAGUACUCGACUCGCUUAGUAUGGAGUGUAUUGACGUCCCAAACUGCGGGACAGCCGAGUAAUAAUAAAGCAAAUAUCGAUUAUAUCUCGGCCAAUUCCAAAAAAAUACUCAACAAUUCUAUAAUGAGAUCCACAGUGGAAAACGUUCACGUAAUUAGAAAAAAAUACGAGGAAUAUCUUCCACGGCACAUAAGAGUACUCCAAUUUGCGAGGUCGCUGGGAUAUCGAUGUGGGAUGGAGCUUGAAAUCCUCAGUGAUACAAGUUUGCCAAGUCCGACACCGAGGAAGAACAUGGAGCCGUCCAAUUCUAGGGCGGAAACCACACGCCUACAUCAGAUGAAAACCCAUAAAUCUCUUAUCAACACUUUUGAAGAUCCUUCCUCAGCCACAGUUUCGCAACUCUUGGUUCUGUCUACCCCAUAAAAUAAUAAAUAUGUGUCACGAUC